Molecule: ribosomal RNA, 497 nt
Filed under: uncultured bacterium
Lineage: Bacteria
Description: partial 16S ribosomal RNA
Rfam family: Bacterial small subunit ribosomal RNA
Source: RNAcentral
GAUGAACGCUGGCCGCGUGCCUAAUACAUCCAAGUCGAGCGAACAGAUGAGGAGCUUGCUCCUCUGACGUAAGCGGCGGCAGGGUGAGUAACACGUGGAUAACCUACCUAUAAGACUGGGAUAACUUCGGGAAACCGGAGCUAAUACCGGAUAAUAUAUUGAACCGCAUGGUUCAAUAGUGAAAGACGGUUUUGCUGUCACUUAUAGAUGGAUACGCGCCGCAUUAGCUAGUUGGUAAGGUAACGGCUUACCAAGGCAACGAUGCGUAGCCGACCUGAGAGGGUGAUCGGCCACACUGGAACUGAGACACGGUCCAGACUCCUACGGGAGGCAGCAGUAGGGAAUCUUCCGCAAUGGGCGAAAGCCUGACGGAGCAACGCCGCGUGAGUGAUGAAGGUCUUCGGAUCGUAAAACUCUGUUAUUAGGGAAGAACAAAUGUGUAAGUAACUAUGCACGUCUUGACGGUACCUAAUCAGAAAGCCACGGCUAACUACGUG